AAUGCACUGACCAUCAAGCUUUUGGAAACAAACUCCUAUUUUGGAAUGGAACCAUCACAAGUGAAAAUUCUAAAGCAGGAAAAAGUAGCAUGUCUAGCUGACAACGAUGCAAGGCUUGCAUUAGAUCCAAAUGACAAGUACAAGAUCCAGACAAAGCCACAUGGGCAUGGAGAUGUUCAUUCUCUUCUUUAUUCAAGUGGAUUACUU
This is a long non-coding RNA of Hordeum vulgare subsp. vulgare (domesticated barley), 207 nucleotides long. RefSeq lists it as uncharacterized. The transcript is spliced from 3 exons. The record is from RefSeq and is a predicted model, not a curated record. NCBI's taxonomy places the organism in Eukaryota, Viridiplantae, Streptophyta, Magnoliopsida, Poales, Poaceae.